RNAcentral lists this ribosomal RNA (468 nucleotides) under uncultured bacterium. Its description in RNAcentral is "partial 16S ribosomal RNA". It matches the Rfam family "Bacterial small subunit ribosomal RNA", at positions 28 to 507 of the family's 1533-position model. The record is from RNAcentral.
GACGAACGCUGGCGGCGUGCUUAACACAUGCAAGUCGAACGGAAAGGCCCUGCUUUUGUGGGGUGCUCGAGUGGCCAACGGGUGAGUAACACGUGAGUAACCUGCCCUUGACUUUGGGAUAACUUCAGGAAACUGGGGCUAAUACCGGAUAGGAGCUCCUGCUGCAUGGUGGGGGUUGGAAAGUUUCGGCGGUUGGGGAUGGACUCGCGGCUUAUCAGCUUGUUGGUGGGGUAGUGGCUUACCAAGGCUUUGACGGGUAGCCGGCCUGAGAGGGUGACCGGCCACAUUGGGACUGAGAUACGGCCCAGACUCCUACGGGAGGCAGCAGUGGGGAAUAUUGCACAAUGGGCGGAAGCCUGAUGCAGCAACGCCGUGUGCGGGAUGACGGCCUUCGGGUUGUAAACCGCUUUCGCCUGUGACGAAGCGUGAGUGACGGUAAUGGGUAAAGAAGCACCGGCUAACUACGUG